AUUGAACGCUGGCGGCAGGCUUAACACAUGCAAGUCGAGCGGAGAGAGGUAGCUUGCUACUGAUCUUAGCGGCGGACGGGUGAGUAAUGCUUAGGAAUCUGCCUAUUAGUGGGGGACAACAUUUCGAAAGGAAUGCUAAUACCGCAUACGUCCUACGGGAGAAAGCAGGGGAUCUUCGGACCUUGCGCUAAUAGAUGAGCCUAAGUCGGAUUAGCUAGUUGGUGGGGUAAAGGCCUACCAAGGCGACGAUCUGUAGCGGGUCUGAGAGGAUGAUCCGCCACACUGGGACUGGAACACGGCCCAGACUCCUACGGGAGGCAGCAGUGGGGAAUAUUGGACAAUGGGCGGAAGCCUGAUCCAGCCAUGCCGCGUGUGUGAAGAAGGCCUUAUGGUUGUAAAGCACUUUAAGCGAGGAGGAGGCUACUUUAGUUAAUACCUAGAGAUAGUGGACGUUACUCGCAGAAUAAGCACCGGCUAACUCUGUGCCAGCCGCCGCCGUAA
This 501-nucleotide ribosomal RNA is filed under the name uncultured bacterium. Its description in RNAcentral is "partial 16S ribosomal RNA". It matches the Rfam family "Bacterial small subunit ribosomal RNA", at positions 30 to 523 of the family's 1533-position model. The record is from RNAcentral.